GCUGGGCCGGUUCGGUCCGGUUUUCUUCUUUUCUUUUUCUGUUUUUCUCAAAUCUUUGAUAUCUUUUGAUUUUGAACUCCAAAAUGGUCCAAAUAAAAUCCAGAAUUUUUUUAAAAUCAUGUUCUAUCAAGAUACAACUUUUGGGAGUAGUUUUCCCUCAAAAUAAAAUAUACAAAAAUAUAUUUGCCCUAUAAAUGCCUUUAGGGCUAUAUAUCUAUUGAAUAAAACUUACUUUUUCCAACUCCAAAUAAUUAACCAAAAAUUAUGGG
This 269-nucleotide long non-coding RNA is filed under the name Brachypodium distachyon (stiff brome). RNAcentral's name for it is "long non-coding RNA (BDIS_LNC003119)". The record is from RNAcentral. Lineage: Eukaryota; Viridiplantae; Streptophyta; Magnoliopsida; Poales; Poaceae.